GACGAACGCUGGCGGCGUGCUUAACACAUGCAAGUCGAACGGAAAGGCCCAGCUUGCUGGGUGCUCGAGUGGCGAACGGGUGAGUAACACGUGGGUGAUCUGCCUCUAACUUCGGGAUAAGCUUGGGAAACUGGGUCUAAUACCGGAUAGGACAAUCGUUUAGUGUCGGUUGUGGAAAGUUUUUUCGGUUAGGGAUGAGCCCGCGGCCUAUCAGCUUGUUGGUGGGGUAAUGGCCUACCAAGGCGUCGACGGGUAGCGGGCCUGAGAGGGUGGACGGCCACAUUGGGACUGAGAUACGGCCCAGACUCCUACGGGAGGCAGCAGUGGGGAAUAUUGCACAAUGGGCGCAAGCCUGAUGCAGCGACGCCGCGUGGGGGAUGACGGCCUUCGGGUUGUAAACCUCUUUCGACAGGGACGAAGCUUUGGUGACGGUACCUGUAUAAGAAGCACCGGCUAACUACGUG
This 464-nucleotide ribosomal RNA is filed under the name uncultured bacterium. RNAcentral's name for it is "partial 16S ribosomal RNA". It matches the Rfam family "Bacterial small subunit ribosomal RNA", at positions 28 to 507 of the family's 1533-position model. The record is from RNAcentral.